Molecule: transfer RNA, 64 nt
Filed under: Allopsontus sp. 1 JZ-2014
Lineage: Eukaryota; Metazoa; Arthropoda; Insecta; Archaeognatha; Machilidae
Description: tRNA-His
Source: RNAcentral
ACUUAGUUAGUUUAUAAGAAUUUUAGUUUGUGGCGCUAAAGGAACAAUAAGGUUGUACUAAGUU